AGUAAAAGUCGUAACAAGGUUUCCGUAGGUGAACCUGCGGAAGGAUCAUUAAAGAGUAAGGGUGCUCAGCGCCCGACCUCCAACCCUUUGUUGUUAAAACUACCUUGUUGCUUUGGCGGGACCGCUCGGUCUCGAGCCGCUGGGGAUUCGUCCCAGGCGAGCGCCCGCCAGAGUUAAACCAAACUCUUGUUAUUUAACCGGUCGUCUGAGUUAAAAUUUUGAAUAAAUCAAAACUUUCAACAACGGAUCUCUUGGUUCUCGCAUCGAUGAAGAACGCAGCGAAAUGCGAUAAGUAAUGUGAAUUGCAGAAUUCAGUGAAUCAUCGAAUCUUUGAACGCACAUUGCGCCCCUUGGUAUUCCGAGGGGCAUGCCUGUUCGAGCGUCAUUACACCACUCAAGCUAUGCUUGGUAUUGGGCGUCGUCCUUAGUUGGGCGCGCCUUAAAGACCUCGGCGAGGCCACUCCGGCUUUAGGCGUAGUAGAAUUUAUUCGAACGUCUGUCAAAGGAGAGGAACUCUGCCGACUGAAACCUUUAUUUUUCUAGGUUGACCUCGGAUCAGGUAGGGAUACCCGCUGAACUUAAGCAUAUCAAUAAGCGGAGGAAAAGAAACCAACAGGGAUUGCCCCAGUAACG
This 633-nucleotide ribosomal RNA is filed under the name uncultured fungus. RNAcentral's name for it is "eukaryotic LSU rRNA". The stretch from base 232 to 385 matches the Rfam family "5.8S ribosomal RNA". Lineage: Eukaryota; Fungi. The record is from RNAcentral.